AAGGUAUGUUAUCCACACUCUCACCACUCACCGAGACACAAGCGUAGGGAUAUGGAAGAUGUGAAACUGUUGCGUGCUCACCUGCUGUGCAUGAUGACAACAAAACCCGCAUGAAGAAUCUGGGAUUGGCCUGCCGCAAGUUCCUUUAGAAGCUCGAUUACAAUGAAUAACCACCACCGAAGAAAUCCGAGGUGAGAAUGCUGCGUGUUGUUAACCGGGAUCCUACACCGUCAUCAGCAGCCGGGAGCUGGGUUAGCACUAGGUGUACAUACUACCUGGAUGACGAAACAACAUAUCCAAGAGCUGAUUGUUACGCUCAAAAGAACAGGGCAGGACACCCACGCACCAGAAUUUUUCAAGUGUGGAAAACACUUCCGGCUGCAACAAAGAUGAAACCGGAAUGGACUUAUGAAAUAGAAAAAAACGCGAUUUCCGGUACUCUGCCAAAAACAGCAGCAACGCUGUGAAUGAACAUGUAUUUAUAAACUGUCCAAUCGGUGCAAUACCUGACGGACCAGGGUGAUCAGCCACCCUCAGCAUAGCAAAAUAAAAAUACCCUUUCCUGGAGGGCGCUCGCCAGCGAGAGCGAUUUAAUUUUAGCUGACGGACCUGACGUGACUCGAAAGAAACUUCCUCGGCGAGUUCUGGAAGUUUCAUCGUCUAGCCUCAAGAGACGUUCACAUACAAGCAACGGUUUGGAGUUCCUAAUUUUUUUCUUGACGACGGCAGAGCCAGAAUUGUUUACUAGCUCGUGAAUCAGCAGUAAAAACUGUCGUCUAUGUUUGACGCUUGGUUAGACAGUUCUAUUGGGUCACAGAGCUACGACCAACCGUGCGAAAAUCACGCAAACCAUCACUACAAUGAAAAUUGCGUGAAGAAAAAAAAAAGAACUAAAAGUAAAAAAAAAAAAAAAAACAGCAUCCGGGUCAAAUCCACACAUAAAGCACGAUAUAACAGUCGUGUAUAAAGGUUAAAGGCUCAAAAGUAGAACUGUAUUCUUUCCACCGAUGAAAAGAAUAAAAAAAAAAACAAACACGGUCAAUGGACGGGUAAAUCGAAAAUGGAACAUAAAAACAUACAUCGGAUUGGAUUAAUGGCAUUAAAGGCCUCCUGGUAAUGCACCAUACAAAGGCACACAAGGACGAAAACA
Long non-coding RNA from Daphnia magna, 1150 nucleotides. RefSeq lists it as uncharacterized. The record is from RefSeq and is a predicted model, not a curated record. Lineage: Eukaryota; Metazoa; Arthropoda; Branchiopoda; Diplostraca; Daphniidae. The transcript has 2 exons.